Molecule: long non-coding RNA, 1076 nt
Organism: Gossypium arboreum
Lineage: Eukaryota; Viridiplantae; Streptophyta; Magnoliopsida; Malvales; Malvaceae
Exons: 2
Source: RefSeq, a predicted model, not a curated record
GGGUUGAAAGAAUCUUUUGCCUUAAAAUUAGAUAUGAGUAAGGCAUACGAUUGGGCGAAGUGAAACUUAAUACAAGCUAUUAUGGUUCACAUAGGUCUCAACGCGAAGUGGGUCGAUUUAGUAAUGCAUUGUGUUAAAUCGGUUUAGUACUCGUUUUGCAUAAAUGGGAUUAUAGGUGACUGAUUCUUUCUACAGAGAGGCUUACGUCAAGGUCAUCCCCUUAGCCCUUAUUUAUUUUUUAUUUGUUCUAAAGUAUUUGCUGCUUUGCUGCAUUUGGCUAGGACUAAUAGGUCGUUGAAAGAGACGUAGAUUUACAGAGAAGGCUCGAGUUUGACAGUUUUUUUGCAGAUGAUAGUUUAUAUUUGGAGAAGCGUCGCCGAUGAGCAUUUCAGUGGUUCGAUCCAUAAUUCAGAAUACGAAUCUCUAUCAAUGUAGCAGGGGUUUGAGAACGUUUAACCUUGAGAGGUAUUCGUGCUUCCUAAAUCAUACCUACAUACCUUAUUCUUUUACCGCGGAGGCCACAGCUGUUAUUCAUGCAUUAUGGUUUGUAGAGAAUUUAGGCUUUGCAUACGUUGAGAUUGAAGGAGAUCUAUUUACGAAGCUAAGGCAUUGGCUACAAGAUUCACAGAACGCUAGUUCAGAUUUAUUCAGAGAGAAGGUCAUAUACCUGCGCACAGUUUAGCUCAUGAAGGAAUCCAUCCAGGCGUUGAUAACUUUUGGGUAGAGAGAGCUCUGAUGUCGGUUAUGGCCACUACUGAGAAAGAUAGGUGGUGGGUGGAUCCACCGAACUAACUUUUGCUGCUAAUCGAUAUUUGCUGGGCUGGUUUAACAUUUUCAGAAUUUUUGCCCAGAUUUUAGCUUUUGAGAUAGCUGUUAGGUUCUUUUGAAACUUAAAAGCUUAGGUUGAACUUUAUGCUUGCUAGGAAGAUAGAUGUCGUUAUUUUUGUGUUUUCUUUUAACUUUUCUAUUGCAAUUUUUUGAACGUUUUUUCCGAGACAGCUUAGCUAUCCUCCAUCGAUAUUGUUCUCUGGUUUUUUUGCCUAUUUUCCUUAAUAAAGUUUAGCCUUUAAAAAGUA